RNAcentral lists this ribosomal RNA (717 nucleotides) under Triticum aestivum (bread wheat). RNAcentral describes it as "partial small subunit ribosomal RNA". Lineage: Eukaryota; Viridiplantae; Streptophyta; Magnoliopsida; Poales; Poaceae. The record is from RNAcentral.
AUGGCAAACAGGAGGACGUGGGACACAGACCACUUCUGCGCUGCGGACAUUAGCCCGACGUUUCCAGGAUUUGUGCGCAGAUCCAAGCUUACAUCACGGCGGUACCUCGUCGACGACUGCCUCACAAUCAGGUGCGUCGUCACCCUCGUCAAUCCUCGCACGGAGCGCACGACGGCCGGCCCGGCAGCCGCCGCUCCGCUGCCGGAGAUGCUCGGCCACCUCGAGCGCAUGCUCAGAGACGGCAAGGGCGCAGACGUGACAAUCGACGUCGCCGGCCGAGCGUUCCGCGUGCACCGGUGCAUGCUCGCCGCGCGCUCGCCGGUUUUCGACGCCGAGCUCUUUGGCCCGAUGAAGGGCAAGGGCACGGAGCACAUUGAGGUACCCGACAUGGAGCCGGCGGUCUUCGAGAUGCUCCUGCGCUUCAUCUACACGGACUCGCUGCUGGGCGACGGCGAGGACUGCGGCGUCGCGAUGACGCAGCACCUGCUGGUUGCCGCGGAUCGGUACGGGGUGGACAAGCUGAAGCAGGCGUGCGACGUGAAGCUGCGCAGAAGCUUGGACGUGCGGACCGUGGCGACCACGUUGGCGCUGGCGGAGCAGCACCAGUGCCCGCUGCUGAGGGACUCGUGCUUGAAAUUUAUGUCGUCGUCCCCGAAUGUGCUGGCAGACGUCCUGAAAACCGACGGGUUCAGACAUCUCACGUGUUUCAAGGAAUAA